UACAGAGGUCUCAAGCGUUGUUCGGAUUCAUUGGGGCGUAAAGGGUGCGUAGGUGGCGCUGUAAGUCGGGCGUGAAAUUUCGGAGCUUAACUCCGAAACUGCAUUCGAUACUGCGGUGCUUGAGGACUGGAGAGGAGACUGGAAUUCAUGGUGUAGCAGUGAAAUGCGUAGAGAUCAUGAGGAAGACCAGUGGCGAAGGCGGGUCUCUGGACAGUUCCUGACACUGAGGCACGAAGGCCAGGGGAGCAAACGGG
Molecule: ribosomal RNA, 254 nt
Filed under: uncultured bacterium
Lineage: Bacteria
Description: partial 16S ribosomal RNA
Rfam family: Bacterial small subunit ribosomal RNA
Source: RNAcentral